GCCUACAAAAAUCUGGAAAUGGGGCAGAGAAGCUGGAAAAAUCGAGAACAAAGAAAGAAAAGAGAGAAGCAAAGAAAUAAAGGAAAAGGAAAAAGAAAGGAAAAGAGGUAGGGUUGGCUAUUACAAUUUCAUCUUGAAUUUGACAAAUUUCUUGGUAUGUUUUAUGCUUAAUUUUUUUUUAAGGUUGCGAUUUAUAGGUUUCAUUUUCAGAUUGAAGGAAGGAGCCAAUAUUUUUGAAUUGGGAAGGCUACUUACAUUAAGGUAUGAAAUACCAAUUUUGGAAAAACCCUAGAAUUUUUAUUUGGGUUUUUGAAUGAGUAUAGUUAACAGGAAUAAUUGUGGAGAUGAAUUUGAAGGCAUGAAUUUAUGGAGCAAGAUGGAAAAUUAAAUUGGUUAAAUUAAAAUUAUUAGUUUUACUAGUUUGGAAGAUGGAAUUAUUUUUAUGUUUGGAGUGAAGAUUAUUUUGAUGAAUCAGAUUUUAAUGAAAGGACUAGAACGUUGAAUUAGUUCCAAUUGCGAAGGAAAUUAAAGAAUAUAUCCAAGUGUCGAGAAGUCGAGUAUUUCGUAGUUAAAAGUUAAGGAUACUUGGUAGGGUGGUUGUUAAAUUGGUUAUCUUGUAUCAUAUUUCAGUAGAUGACGAGAAGAUUGAAAUCAUGAUGAGUCCAUAACUUGGUGAGUGGAUAUAAAACUUAUUUUUCAGAAAUUAUUUAUUUAUUAAAUUUACAUUAAAUUAGAAAAUUUAUUAUUUCAUACAGUUGAUUUGACAGCAUGAUUUUCAAAAUAAAAUUGACUUAUAAACGGUUGUUUUUAAAGUUAUAUUCAAUUCAAUUAAAUUAUUUGAUUAGCGUGUUAUAUGAAUAUAAAUGUUUUAGUAUAGCUAAAGUUAUUUCUAAAAAUCACCAGAAAGUAUCCAGGUGAUUUUACCCGCUCUGCACUAUUAUGAAUGUGUUUCCAUAUUGUAUGACCAGAUUAUCAGAUGUCUUUGGAACCCACUCUCGUCCACACAUAGGCUUUGGACUAAGUACUAGGGUAAUUAGCCUUUGGGGCAGCUCUGCAUACGUAUGACUAGAUUAUCAAAUGUGAAUGGUUUUGCCUUGUACAUCGAGAUUACUCUGUACAUGAGUAAGGCUAUUCAUUGGGUAUCUUUUUGGUGUGAUUUUCAGUAUUAUAUAACUUAUCAGAUUUCAGACUACAGAAUUUAGCUUAUUCAGUUUGCAAAGUAAUGAUUUCAACUUAUAAUAUUGUGACAAAAUUAUAUUCAUCAUAUCUUACUGCUACUUAUCUAGAAUGAAGAAUAAAGAAUUUUAUGAUGCAUCCAUGUUUAGUUUUAAAAAGUGUUAUCAGAUUUCAAAAUUUCUUAAAGUUUUAAUAGAACAAGAAUUUUCAGAAAAUAUGCAUAAAUGAGAAAAGUAUACUUAUUUGCAAACCAUCCACUUACCGAAUUGCAAGCUCAUGUUUUUCCACCCUUUUUCUGAGCAGAUAGUAGUAAAGUUGAGCAGUCAUGGAGCUUGUCAAUUCACCUAAUUGAGCCACAUGUCAGUAAUUGUAUAGCCUACUUUAUCAGAUUAUCAUUUGAUAUCUUUAGUACGUUUGGGGACCUUUGGUUGUAGAGUAAAGUUAUUAUCGAUUUGCUAGUAUUCUAUUUGAAUAGUUUGGAUUUUGAAGGGCUGGUGUAACAUGUUUUAUAUUAUAUGUAGUGAUUUAAGGAAAAUUGGUAAUUGUUCAGGUGGUUUUAAUUCGUAUUUCAGGGAAAAUUCUGUUAAAAUUUUUUUUUAGUCAAGCAAAUCAAGGUUACCUUGGUUGUGGGCCGACAUUGAAUUGGUAUUUAUCAUCGGCGCACGACACGUGUCAAGUUCACUAAGCUGAUUUGGAACGGGUUUGUGUCAAUCUCUCUAACUCACUUGACUGAGAGCUCUUUCUAAAUUCGACAAUUUAGUCAGUGUAGACCAACUGUUGUUCAUGAUGAAUAUUUAAUGUCUAGCAAUUUUACUGAGUACUCCCUUCUGGAUUCUACAACUUGAAUGGUUCAUCGAUAGUCUCAAUUGUAUUGGGUAUGUGACUUGAGACAGGGGUCUGACUGUUUCACUUUUUUGAGUCGCUUUGCUUUUCCCAAGUUGCUUUUAAUUUCUAACUUUUCUUUGAACUAACAGAGGUUUCCUUGUUUAUGGUUUCAGGUUGAUGGUUGAUAACAAGUUCAGGCAACGCAUGCUGACGAUAUUUUACAAGGGAUACCGAAAUCUAGUUCAUAGGAUGAUGUUUAAUAUAUGGAUGUAUCAGUUGGUUCUCUGGUUUAUGUUCUAAAUACUGCUUGUGCAAGGAAACUUAUCCAACUUCCUUUAUUUUGUCUUGGUGUGAAGAUUGUAUAAACUAUCACAGAUGAUAAUUUAUUUUUUCUUAUGACCUGUGUUUUUACUUCCAUAACGAAUUGAAGGAUGUUAGAAUCCGUUGGAUUGCAAAGAUGGAAUUUGGAUAGAAAGAAAACGAAUUUUAG
RNAcentral lists this long non-coding RNA (2491 nucleotides) under Olea europaea (common olive). Its description in RNAcentral is "long non-coding RNA (OEUR_LNC001584)". The record is from RNAcentral. Lineage: Eukaryota; Viridiplantae; Streptophyta; Magnoliopsida; Lamiales; Oleaceae.